This 292-nucleotide ribosomal RNA is filed under the name uncultured bacterium. RNAcentral describes it as "partial 16S ribosomal RNA". It matches the Rfam family "Bacterial small subunit ribosomal RNA", at positions 505 to 796 of the family's 1533-position model. The record is from RNAcentral.
GUGUCAGCAGCCGCGGUAAUACGUAGGUGGCAAGCGUUGUCCGGAUUUACUGGGCGUAAAGAGCGCGCAGGCGGCCAAGUCAGUCGAAUGUGAAAGCCCCCGGCUCAACUGGGGAAGGUCAUUCGAUACUGCUCGGCUUGAAGGUAGGAGAGGGAAGCGGAAUUUCAGGUGUAGUGGUGAAAUGCGUAGAUAUCUGAAGGAACACCAGUGGCGAAGGCGGCUUUCUGGCCUAUUCUUGACGCUGAGGCGCGAAAGCUAGGGGAGCGAACGGGAUUAGAUACCAUUGGAGUAC